GGGAUUAUUUCAUUGAAGCUUCGGCAGAUUUGGCUUAAUUCUAGUGGCGGACGGGUGAGUAACGCGUGGGUAACCUGCCUUAUACAGGGGGAUAACAGUCAGAAAUGGCUGCUAAUACCGCAUAAGCGCACAGGGCCGCAUGGCCCGGUGUGAAAAACUGAGGUGGUAUAAGAUGGACCCGCGUUGGAUUAGCCAGUUGGCAGGGUAACGGCCUACCAAAGCGACGAUCCAUAGCCGGCCUGAGAGGGUGAACGGCCACAUUGGGACUGAGACACGGCCCAGACUCCUACGGGAGGCAGCAGUGGGGAAUAUUGCACAAUGGGGGAAACCCUGAUGCAGCGACGCCGCGUGAAGGAAGAAGUAUCUCGGUAUGUAAACUUCUAUCAGCAGGGAAGAAAAUGACGGUACCUGACUAAGAAGCCCCGGCUAACUACGUGCCAGCAGCCGCGGUAAUACGUAGGGGGCAAGCGUUAUCCGGAUUUACUGGGUGUAAAGGGAGCGUAGACGGCAUAACAAGUCUGAUGUGAAAGGCUGGGGCUUAACCCCGGGACUGCAUUGGAAACUGUUAAGCUUGAGUGCCGGAGGGGUAAGCGGAAUUCCUAGUGUAGCGGUGAAAUGCGUAGAUAUUAGGAGGAACA
RNAcentral lists this ribosomal RNA (638 nucleotides) under uncultured bacterium. RNAcentral describes it as "bacterial SSU rRNA". It matches the Rfam family "Bacterial small subunit ribosomal RNA", at positions 44 to 708 of the family's 1533-position model. The record is from RNAcentral.